AUUGAACGCUGGCGGCGUGCUUAACACAUGCAAGUCGAGCGGCAGCGCGGGAGCAAUCCUGGCGGCGAGCGGCGAACGGGUGAGUAAUGCUUCGGAAUCUGCCCUUCAGUGGGGAAUAACCAGUCGAAAGACUGGCUAAUACCGCAUACGAACUGAGGUUGAAAGCAGGGGAUCGCAAGACCUUGCGCUGAUGGAUGAGCCGAAGUCGGAUUAGCUAGUUGGUGGGGUAAAGGCCCACCAAGGCGACGAUCCGUAGCUGGUCUGAGAGGAUGAUCAGCCACACUGGGACUGAGACACGGCCCAGACUCCUACGGGAGGCAGCAGUGGGGAAUUUUGGACAAUGGGCGCAAGCCUGAUCCAGCCAUUCCGCGUGCAGGACGAAGG
This 384-nucleotide ribosomal RNA is filed under the name uncultured bacterium. Its description in RNAcentral is "bacterial SSU rRNA". It matches the Rfam family "Bacterial small subunit ribosomal RNA", at positions 29 to 414 of the family's 1533-position model. The record is from RNAcentral.